Molecule: ribosomal RNA, 253 nt
Filed under: uncultured bacterium
Lineage: Bacteria
Description: partial 16S ribosomal RNA
Rfam family: Bacterial small subunit ribosomal RNA
Source: RNAcentral
UACGUAGGGACCAAGCGUCGUCCGGAAUUAUUGGGCGUAAAGAGCUCGUAGGCGGCUGUCCACGUCGGAUGUGAAAGCUCGGGGCUCAACCCUGAGAGGCCAUUCGAUACGGGACGGCUAGAGGUAGGUAGGGGAGAUUGGAAUUCCUGGUGUAGCGGUGAAAUGCGCAGAUAUCAGGAGGAACACCGGUGGCGAAGGCGGAUCUCUGGGCCUUACCUGACGCUGAGGAGCGAAAGCUGGGGGAGCAAACAGG